This 465-nucleotide ribosomal RNA is filed under the name uncultured bacterium. Its description in RNAcentral is "bacterial SSU rRNA". It matches the Rfam family "Bacterial small subunit ribosomal RNA", at positions 338 to 795 of the family's 1533-position model. The record is from RNAcentral.
CCUACGGGGGGCUGCAGUAGGGAAUCUUCCGCAAUGGACGAAAGUCAGACGGAGCAACGCCGCGUGAGCGAAGAAGGUCUUCGGAUCGUAAAGCUCUGUUGUGAGGGAAGAACAAGUACGGGAGGAAAUGACCGUACCUUGACGGUACCUAACGAGGAAGCCACGGCUAACUACGUGCCAGCAGCCGCGGGAAUACGUAGGUGGCAAGCGUUGUCCGGAAUUAUUGGGCGUAAAGCGCGCGCAGGCGGACUUUUAAGUCUGAUGUGAAAUCUUGCGGAUCAACCGGAAUCGGUCAUCGGAAACUGGGGGACUUGAGUGAAGAAGAGGAAAGCGGAAUUCCACGUGUAGCGGUGAAAUGCGUAGGGAUGUGGAGGAACACCAGUGGCGAAGGCGGCAUUCUUGUCUGGAGCUGACGCUGAGGCGCGAAAGCGUGGGGAGUAAACAGGAUUAGAUACCCGGGUAGUC